AUGGGGACACCAAAAGCUCAACCAUUGCCCCAAACCCAGACUUUGGCCCCAAAUUUCCGGGCGGCCGUGACCCUGCUGGAGUCCGGGGGGGACCUCCAGCCCCCCGGGGGGUCCCUGCGCCUCCUCUGCCGAGGGGAGGGAUUCGAGUUCGGGAAUUUUGGGCUGGGCUGGAUGCGCCAGAGGCCCGGGAAGGGGCUGGAAUACGUCGCGAGCAUCAGCAGUGGUGGUUACACGUACUACGCGCUGUCGGUGCAGGGCCGGUUCACCAUCGCCAGGGACAACGGGCAGAGCUCGGUGACGCUGAGCAUGAACAACCUCCAGGACGAGGAUUCCGGGGUUUAUUUCUGUGCCAAACGUUUUGAUGCUGGAGCUGCUAAUCUUCCUUUUGGUGGUGACAAACCCUGCCUCCAUCACUGUUUCCCCAAACCCCAGGGUUUUGCCCCAAAUCCUGACCCUGACCCCGGUGCUGACCCUUUAUCCCCAGCCGGGCUCGCUCUGGCCCCGGCUGAGAGGGGAGAGUUGGGGCAGCAGGGGCGGAGUUUGGGGUGA
Molecule: non-coding RNA, 549 nt
Organism: Poecile atricapillus (Black-capped chickadee)
Lineage: Eukaryota; Metazoa; Chordata; Aves; Passeriformes; Paridae
Source: the annotation of a RefSeq genome assembly